CGGCGGACGGGUGAGUAAUGCCUAGGAAUCUGCCUGGUAGUGGGGGACAACGUUUCGAAAGGAACGCUAAUACCGCAUACGUCCUACGGGAGAAAGCAGGGACCUUCGGGCCUUGCGCUAUCAGAUGAGCCUAGGUCGGAUUAGCUAGUUGGUGAGGUAAUGGCUCACCAAGGCGACGAUCCGUAACUGGCUGAGAGGAUGAUCAGUCACACUGGAACUGAGACACGGUCCAGACUCCUACGGGAGGCAGCAGA
RNAcentral lists this ribosomal RNA (254 nucleotides) under uncultured Pseudomonas sp. RNAcentral's name for it is "partial 16S ribosomal RNA". It matches the Rfam family "Bacterial small subunit ribosomal RNA", at positions 96 to 354 of the family's 1533-position model. The record is from RNAcentral. Lineage: Bacteria; Pseudomonadati; Pseudomonadota; Gammaproteobacteria; Pseudomonadales; Pseudomonadaceae.